UUUAAAGAAACAAGAAUAUAAUUUUACAAAAAAACGGAGAUUUAAUGUAGCUGGAGCCCAGAAAAGAAAUGCAGAAAUUGAAGGAAAAAACGGUGGAGGAUGAAGAGCAACCGAAAAGUACUGGACCGGCACUUGAAGACCUCAAUUGGACUGGUAGAUGCAUAACUGGAAGACAUUGCAAAUUCAUGUGAAGAACAAAAACCCGCUGAGUGGAUUACACUGGAUUAUAGCAAGCUUAGAUAAGUAGCAAAAAUAUUUUCUUUUAUAUCAAGUAGUGUUUCUUCGUGGUUUUUUUUGUUGUUUUCUUUUUAGGAAAAGAGAAAAAUGAACUGUGACGUUAUGACGGAACAUUUUCCCGGCUGUGGCAUCCUUGUUGAAAGAUGACAAAACAGUGAUGUGCUGAUGGGUUGCUGGAGAAUAAAAGGUGUGUUGCUGGAGAACAACGAUAUUGAUACCGAAUUAGCCACAUUGUAAUGGUAAUUGGUCUUCACCUGUAAUGAGAAGAGCAGAGGGAUAGUAGGAAGAAGUUAUAGCGCCUUAUCUCGCUUUCCGGAAAUUCAGGAAGUGGGAAUUAGGAAAAAGAAAAAAGUAGAGGCAUCCAAUACAAAUAUUUCUAACCUAAUCAACAAAUCAUUUCAAAUUAUUUGCCACAUCACAGCGUCAUAAAUGAAAGUAGCUCAAAAUUACGAGUGGUUUUUGAUACAUCCCGGCCUACUUCGAAUGGUUCACCAUUAAAUGACAAAACAUUAAAGGGCCCAGUCAUACAGGAUGAUUUAUCUACUCUUCUAUUACGUUUUCGAAAAUAUAAAAUUGCAUUUACAACAGAUUUGCAGAAGAUUUAUAGGCAAAUCCGAAUUGCACCACAACAUGCCGAUUAUCAAAGAAUAGUCUGGGGAGCUUCUUCGAGUCAAUCAAUUCAAGACUACAAAUUAACUGCAGUAACAUUUGGUACAAAAUCAGCACUGUUUCUAGCAACACAAGUAUUAAAAGAGUUGGCGAUAGAUGAAAAGAUAAACUAUCCUAUUGCAUCAACAAAAGGCAUUGGAAAAACAAUUAUUGGACAUGAUAGCUUCGGUCGGAUUCUCAUUGUGCAAGUGGUCAUCAAAUGCAGCUGAGCUACUAGAAGCCCUUCCACAAGAACAUCGAGAAAUCAAUUGGCCUUUAAAAAUUGAAGAAGCUGAAACAGUCAGAACAUUAGGCAUGCAAUGGGAUCCAGCAAACGACCAAUUUUCGUAUAAAAUUUCCCUACUAGAAAAUGAUUCACAGAAAUGGACAAGGCGAACAAUUCGAUCCUCUCGGCUGGUUGGCACCUUGUAUCAGUAGAUACAAUUUUAAGUGACAAAAUGGUUACGCCACACAUAAAUGGUUCUGGAUGAAAUGGAAUUAAUUAUGGGAUUGGCGUGGGUAAGUUUACAAUAUUUCCUUUUUUUAAAUCAUAUUGUUUGUUAGGUUUAUCUAAUAACAUACACUAAAAAAAUUUAGUUUAAAUUUAAAAACACAAAAAUUGUCUUACAAAACCAAAGAAAUUCUUUAAAAAAAUUUAGAAUUUAAUUUAAAACAAGUUGAAAAAUAAGCAUUUAUUAAAUAAGCUUAUUUUUUAUAACAUUUAAAAAAUAAGCAUUUAAACCAAUGGUUUGUAAAACAGUACUUUUCCUUUCAACAAGUGAAAAUAUUAGCUUUUAAGAACAACCUUAUACAAUAUUAAAUUUUCUUUUAUUCAUAUUAUACAAAAUUAUACAUAAAACUAUUUAGGAGCAGCAAACAAGGAAAAAAAUUUAGAAGGAGCAUUGCGGAGCUAAUGAGCUAUUACGAAAAUGUACGGUUAGGAAAGUGAGUUAAAAAAAUAAUUGUUAAGGAAAUAACUUUUUAGUAAAAAUAAGUUUAGAUUGAAAUUUCACCAUUUCAACAGGAUGUAGAAGCUUAUAUGAUAAACAAUUUGAAACCUAUGAAGGCUUAAAAAUUUGCCGUGUAGUUUUAAUUCUUUUUAUAAAAUAUUGACGAACAUAGAAUCUGUUGACCAUUUUUAUUGACAUUAACAUAUUUACAUUAAAUUUCUUUUGGAGCGGUUCACUUUUAUUCAACUGAUCAUUUUUAACAUGGACUAAUCAUGAAUAAUCCUGCCUUUGUAAGUUUAAGAUAUUUUGUUGCUUCUGAAGACGGUUUUUGAACAUAUAUAUAUAUACAUACAACUCAAAUAUAAACUUUAAAACAGAAAAAGGACAAAACGUGUGGAAAAGAGAACGAAUUAGCAAACGCGGAAAGAGAAAUAUUGAUUUCUAAUGUUAUUCAAUUUUUUAUAAAGAUAAAUAUAAUAAAAUGUAUAUAAAAAUGUAAUCAUUUAGUUUAAAGUUUCGCUUAAUUGAUUAAUUAAGUCACCACUUCUAUUAGUAAUAAACAUUUUUUAAACAAUUUGAUACUUAUUUGCAAAGAUAUAUUAUAAUUUAAUAACAUAAAAAAACGUAGAAGUACAUAAAUGUGAAAAUGUAAUGUAAAAAUUUUAAGUUUA
This is a long non-coding RNA of Condylostylus longicornis, 2506 nucleotides long. RefSeq lists it as uncharacterized. NCBI's taxonomy places the organism in Eukaryota, Metazoa, Arthropoda, Insecta, Diptera, Dolichopodidae. The record is from RefSeq and is a predicted model, not a curated record. The transcript has 4 exons.